AAUGUUGAAAGGGAAGCGCUUGCAGCCAGACUUGCCUGUAGUUGCUCAUCCGGGCUUUUGCCCGGUGCACUCUUCUGCGAGCAGGCCAGCAUCAGUUUGGGCGGUUGGAUAAAGGUCUCUGUCAUGUACCUCUCUUCGGGGAGGCCUUAUAGGGGAGACGACAUGCAACCAGCCCAGACUGAGGUCCGCGCAUUUGCUAGGAUGCUGGCGUAAUGGCUGUAAGCGGCCCGUCUUGAAACACGGACCAAGGAGUCUAACAUCUAUGCGAGUGUUUGGGUGUCAAGCCCGAGCGCGCAAUGAAAGUGAACGGAGGUGGGAACCCCUCGGGGCGCACCAUCGACCGAUCCUGAUGUCUUCGGAUGGAUUUGAGUAAGAGCAUAGCUGUUGGGACCCGAAAGAUGGUGAACUAUGCUUGAAUAGGGUGAAGCCAGAGGAAACUCUGGUGGAGGCUCGCAGCGGUUCUGACGUGCAAAUCGAUCGUCAAAUUUGGGCAUAGGGGCGAAAGACUAAUCGAACUAUCUAGUAGCUGGUUCCUGCCGAAGUUUCCCUCAGGAUAGCAGUAACGUAUUCAGUUUUAUGAGGUAAAGCGAAUGAUUAGAGGCCUGGGGGUUGAAACAACCUUCACCUAUUCUCAAACUUUAAAUAUGUAAGAAGUCUUUGUUACUUGAUUGAACGUAGACACUUGAAUGUACCGUUACUAGUGGGCCAUUUUUGGUAAGCAGAACUGGCGAUGCGGGAUGAACCGAACGCGGGGUUAAGGUGCCAGAAUGCACGCUCAUCAGACACCACAAAAGGUGUUAGUUCAUCUAG
Molecule: ribosomal RNA, 810 nt
Filed under: uncultured Ascomycota
Lineage: Eukaryota; Fungi; Ascomycota
Description: LSU rRNA
Rfam family: Eukaryotic large subunit ribosomal RNA
Source: RNAcentral